This 424-nucleotide ribosomal RNA is filed under the name uncultured bacterium. Its description in RNAcentral is "partial 16S ribosomal RNA". It matches the Rfam family "Bacterial small subunit ribosomal RNA", at positions 360 to 776 of the family's 1533-position model. The record is from RNAcentral.
AAUAUUGGACAAUGGGGGCAACGCUGAUCCAGCCAUGCCGCGUGUGUGAAGAAGGUCNNNGGAUUNUCAAGCACUUUAGGUUGNGAANAAGGGCUUUAGGUUAAUACCCUGAAGUUUUGACGUUACCGACAGAAUAAGCACCGGCUACCUCUGUGCCAGCAGCCGCGGUAAUACAGAGGGUGCAAGCGUUAAUCGGAAUUACUGGGCGUAAAGCGCGCGUAGGUGGUUCAGUAAGAUGGGUGUGAAAUCCCCGGGCUUAACCUGGGAACUGCUUUCAUAACUGCUGAGCUAGAGUACGGUAGAGGGUAGUGGAAUUUCCUGUGUAGCGGUGAAAUGCGUAGAUAUAGGAAGGAACACCAGUGGCGAAGGCGACUACCUGGACUGAUACUGACACUGAGGUGCGAAAGCGUGGGGAGCAAACAGG